GACGAACGCUGGCGGCGUGCCUAAUACAUGCAAGUCGAGCGGACGAAUCGAAAGCUUGCUUUUGAUUCGUUAGCGGCGGACGGGUGAGUAACACGUGGGCAACCUGCCCUGUAGACGGGGAUAACACCGAGAAAUCGGUGCUAAUACCGGAUAACACGAAAUGUCGCAUGACGUUUCGUUGAAAGACGGCGCAAGCUGUCGCUACAGGAUGGGCCCGCGGCGCAUUAGCUAGUUGGUGAGGUAACGGCUAACCAAGGCGACGAUGCGUAGCCGACCUGAGAGGGUGAUCGGCCACACUGGGACUGAGACACGGCCCAGACUCCUACGGGAGGCAGCAGUAAGGAAUCUUCCGCAAUGGACGUAAGUCUGACGGAGCAACGCCGCGUGAGCGAAGAAGGCCUUCGGGUCGUAAAGCUCUGUUGUUAGGGAAGAACAAGUAACGCAGUAACUGGCGUUACCGUGACGGUACCUAACGAGAAAGCCACGGCUAACUACGUG
Molecule: ribosomal RNA, 498 nt
Filed under: uncultured bacterium
Lineage: Bacteria
Description: partial 16S ribosomal RNA
Rfam family: Bacterial small subunit ribosomal RNA
Source: RNAcentral